Molecule: ribosomal RNA, 499 nt
Filed under: uncultured bacterium
Lineage: Bacteria
Description: partial 16S ribosomal RNA
Rfam family: Bacterial small subunit ribosomal RNA
Source: RNAcentral
GAUGAACGCUGGCGGCGUGCCUAAUACAUGCAAGUCGAGCGAACAGACGAGAGUGCUUGCACUCUCUGACGUUAGCGGCGGACGGGUGAGUAACACGUGGGUAACCUACCUAUAAGACUGGGAUAACUUCGGGAAACCGGAGCUAAUCCCGGAUAAUAUUUAGCUUCGCAUGAAGCAAUAGUGAAAGACGGUUCUGCUGUCACUAAUAGAUUGACCAGCGGUGUAUUAGCUGGUUGGUGAGGUAACGGCUCACCAAGGCCACGAUACAUAGCCGACCUGGGAGGGUAACCGGCCACGGUGGGACUGGGACACGGCCCAGACUCCUACGGGAGGCAGCAGUAGGGAAUUUUGCGCAAUGGACGAAAGUCUGACGGAGCAAUGCCGCGUGAGUGAAGAAGGUAUUCGGAUCGUAAAACUCUGUUGUAAGGGAAGAACAAGUACGUUAGUAACUGAACGUACCUUGACGGUACCUUACCAGAAAGCCACGGCUAACUACGUG